AUGACCCGCCGCCGCAGCCCACGCCUCCAUCCCCAGAUCCCGGCCGGAAUGGCCGUCCGCCGCAGUCCGCGGCUCCUCUCCCAAACCCACACCAGCGAGGAUGGCUCCGGCAUAGCCCUCCGCCGCAGCCCGCGGCUCCACCCUCAGAUCCCCGUGAGUGCCAAGGGCGCCGGAGCGACCUGCCGACGCAGCUCGCGGCUCAACCCCGAAAUCUGCGUGGGUGAGGAGGUCUCUGGAGUGACCUACCGCCGCAGCCCGCGGCUCAAUCCCCAACUCCACACGAGCGAGGAGGGCGCCGGCCGCCGCACCACGCUGCUCCACCCCCAAGUCCACUCGAGCGAGGCGGGCUCCGGAAUUACACGCCGCCGCCGCCGCCGCGGCACCUCGCCGGCUGCGCCUGCCGCCCUGCCGGACGACGACGAUAUGCUCCGGGAGAUCCUCCUGCGCCUCCCGCCUCAGCCGUCCUCCCUCCCGCGCGCCUCCGCCGUCUGCAAACGCUGGCAACGCGUCACCACCGACCCCCGGCUCCUCAGCAGCUUCUCUGCCCACCACCGCAAGCCGCCCCUCCUCGGCUUCUUUGAGCCUGACUGCUACGACAUCGUGUUCACCUCGAUCAUGGACCCUCCCAACCGCAUCCCUCCCGUGAGGUUCGACACACGGCGUCAGAUCCGCAGCUUCCGGAAGGCCGAAGUGCUCGGUUGCCGCCACGGCCUCGUCCUCCUCCUGGCAGACUGGUUCAUUGUAUGA
This 747-nucleotide ribosomal RNA is filed under the name Triticum aestivum (bread wheat). Its description in RNAcentral is "partial small subunit ribosomal RNA". The record is from RNAcentral. Lineage: Eukaryota; Viridiplantae; Streptophyta; Magnoliopsida; Poales; Poaceae.